RNAcentral lists this ribosomal RNA (447 nucleotides) under uncultured bacterium. RNAcentral describes it as "partial 16S ribosomal RNA". It matches the Rfam family "Bacterial small subunit ribosomal RNA", at positions 330 to 793 of the family's 1533-position model. The record is from RNAcentral.
GCCAGACUCCUACGGGAGGCAGCAGUGGGGGAUAUUGCACAAUGGGGGGAACCCUGAUGCAGCGACGCCGCGUGGGUGAAGGAGCGUUUCGGCGCGUAAAGCCCUAUCGGCAGGGAAGAAGGAGGACGGUACCUGACUAAGAAGCCCCGGCUAACUACGUGCCAGCAGCCGCGGUAAUACGUAGGGGGCAAGCGUUAUCCGGAUUUACUGGGUGUAAAGGGAGCGCAGGCGGUUCUGCAAGUCUGAUGUGAAAGCCCGGGGCUCAACCGCGGGACUGCAUUGGAAACUGCGGGACUGGAGUGUCGGAGGGGUAAGCGGAAUUCCUGGUGUAGCGGUGAAAUGCGUAGAUAUCAGGAGGAACACCGGUGGCGAAGGCGGCCUGCUGGACUGCAACUGACGUUGAGGCCCGAAAGCGUGGGGAGCAAACAGGAUUAGAUACCCCAGUAC